This is a transfer RNA of 72 nucleotides. It matches the Rfam family "tRNA". Rfam says of the family: Transfer RNA (tRNA) molecules are approximately 80 nucleotides in length. Their secondary structure includes four short double-helical elements and three loops (D, anti-codon, and T loops). The record is from Rfam.
GGGCGAAUGGUUUAGUGGUAUAAUACUCCCUUAGCAUGGGAGUGGUCCAGGGUUCGAUUCCCUGUUCGUCCA